AAUGGGUAUGUUCCCAAACUUCUGAGCACCGCAGCAAGGGAAGUUUUGAUCAAAGCGGUUUGUCAGGCAAUUCCCACAUAUUCCAUGAGUUGUUUCAGGUUGUCCAAAAAACUAUGUAAAAAGUUGACUGUUAUAGUGGCUCGAUUCUUCUGGGGUGGAGAUGAAAGCCGUAGGAAGCUUCAUUGGAAAAAAUGGAGAGAUAUAGCUAUACCAAAAGGAGAUGGAGGCAUGGGCUUUAGGGAUUUUGAAAUGUUUAAUCAAGCUAUGCUUGCAAAACAGGGCUGGAGGUUGAUUACCACACCAAAAUCAUUGUGUGCUAGAGUUCUUAAAGGCAAGUAUUUUCAUGAUCAUGACUUUAUGUUAGCCAAGAACAAGAGAGGGUCAUCACACAUUUGGAGGGCAAUACUCCAUGGCAGAGAGGUACUAAAACUGGGGUUAGUGAAGAGGGUUGGAGAUGGCUCUUCUAUUCGGCCUUGGGAUGAUCCAUGGAUUCCAUCUAAUUAUGGUUUCAAACCUAUUGUGAAGCUCCCAGGUGCAGCCGUGAACACAGUACAAGAUCUGAUAGAUGAAGACACUGGGGAAUGGGAUAUCAAUAUGAUAAAAUUGCAUUUUGUUGAACCUGAUGUGAGUGCAAUCUGCAGGAUCCCCCUCGGUCGCUUCACCGAGGACUCAUGGGCGUGGCACUUUGAAAAGCAUGGGAAUUUCACGGUAAGAUCAGCAUACAGAGAGCUAGUAGCUAAAUGCCAUCAAAGAGUCUAG
RNAcentral lists this ribosomal RNA (759 nucleotides) under Triticum aestivum (bread wheat). RNAcentral describes it as "partial small subunit ribosomal RNA". The record is from RNAcentral. Lineage: Eukaryota; Viridiplantae; Streptophyta; Magnoliopsida; Poales; Poaceae.